Long non-coding RNA from Larimichthys crocea (large yellow croaker), 404 nucleotides. RefSeq lists it as uncharacterized. The transcript is spliced from 3 exons. Lineage: Eukaryota; Metazoa; Chordata; Actinopteri; Sciaenidae. The record is from RefSeq and is a predicted model, not a curated record.
GACAAGAGGACAAGAAGACAAGACAAAAUAAAUUCAUGUUGUUUCAUACAGGUGAAGACAAGACAAGACAAGACAAGACAAGACAAGACAAGACAAGAUCAGACUUUACUGAUCCCACACUGUAUCUGGUUCUCGUGUUGAACUUUCCAGUGAUGUUCAGUCCUGCUCCGCCCUCUGCUGGUGGAGGAUGAUCAGCACUCUUUAAUUCACCUGCAGACUGUCUCUAUGGUAACUGACUGUGCACCUUCACCUGUAAGUUCGGUUUCCUGUGUCGGAACACGCUGACCGCGCGUGCACUUUGUCAUUUCCUUUGUUGUUUUUGAUUAAACAUCUGAAAAGACAGUAAAGAAAGAGCUGACGGAGUGCCACUGCAGUUCUGUUAUAUUCUAUAUAUUAUUAUACAG